AUUAACAUGGUAGAUUCAUAGGGAUCCAUCCAUCCCUAGGACAUCUACAUGAGCAGAUGGAUAGGUGCACUUAGGAGGCUUUGACCUCUCCUCUCUGAAGAGAAGAAAGAGAUCCAGUUUUAUGUAGUGCAAAAUGCAAGCAGAGGAAGAAGACCAACAUAGGGUAAGGGAAGAGAAAUACACUAGGAUGUGUCCGUGGCGUCGGACAACACUUGGGUCAGAGCAGCGACGGCCAGGGAAGAUGCAGA
Molecule: long non-coding RNA, 248 nt
Filed under: Hordeum vulgare
Lineage: Eukaryota; Viridiplantae; Streptophyta; Magnoliopsida; Poales; Poaceae
Description: long non-coding RNA (HVUL_LNC008252)
Source: RNAcentral